Long non-coding RNA from Cuculus canorus (common cuckoo), 1567 nucleotides. RefSeq lists it as uncharacterized. Lineage: Eukaryota; Metazoa; Chordata; Aves; Cuculiformes; Cuculidae. The record is from RefSeq and is a predicted model, not a curated record. The transcript has 4 exons.
CCCCGCUCCCCGCAGCACCACCCCCUCCUUCUCCCCGCUGCGGCAGCAGUGCGCACCGCUCCGCGCCCCGAGGCUCCGCACGGGGCCGCUGCCGCGCACCUGGCCCGCAGUUUUUCCCACAGAAGGGCGUAUUCAGAUUCCUAAAGAAGGCUUUGAAAGGGAUCCAAAGAGGCAAUCACAUGCAUGUGCAAUUGUUUUUCCACCAGGCAAGAAUAUAUGGAAUGUGGAUGGAGUUUCAGCAUAGCUCUGUGCAUAGUUCUCUAAAAAUUCAGUACAACUAUAGUCAAAGAAGAGAAGCAAUCUGAGAACCUGAGUCUCUGCUUCAUAGCAACAUUGUUUACAGAAAGUUAGCAGAAAGUGGGAAGUCCAGAACUUCUUGGAUGUCUAAUUAACCUGUGCUACUUACUACAGGAACUUUGAAAAUGUUCACUAUUCUUCAUGAUUAUAAGGAUCCCAAUACAUAUUAUAUAUGAGCAAGAAUGUACGUACAUACAAUAGGCAUGAUCUACAAUCUUUCUGCAUGGGAAGAAGUAAAGCCCGCAAGAUUGUCCACACAUGCAAUCUGCAGCUUUAAAGAUGUGAAAAUGAGUUAACCACAUACUUUCAUCCAUUCGUUUAACUUACCACCUGGGCAUUUGCUCACCAGUCUUAGAAAACAGGGUAAUAUGUCUAGCUGUUACUAGCUAGAAAACUGAAUGAAUUCUUAGCUAUCAAAUUAGUCUCUGUCAUAACCUCCUUUACCCUGUGAUCUUUAAUAGUGCAAGAUAUGAUUGCACCCCUUUACCACAGAUUUAUUUCUAACUUAUAAGUAUAUCGCGUACAUUUUAUCUUUAAAUUCUAGAAAAUGAAAAAUCAUACAGGCAUAUUUGUUGAAUGUUUAUGGGUUUUAACAGAUAAUAGUGGAUAAUAAGCACAUGUCACUUUGGAAAGUUUAACAGUGAAAAAUAUGUUUUGCUUUCUGUUUUUACAUACAUGCAAAUAAUUCUCAGUGGCCCUGAUGCGUACUUUCAUAUUUAAUCAAAAUUAUACUCCAAGUAUGAGUAAGUAAUAUGACAAGGGAACUUCUUAUGCCUGAUAUAAAUCAACGAUUGCUGCCUUAAUUUAAAAGCUGAGUGAUGAUAAGAUACUGUGAAUCAAUAAAUUUGAGCUUCUAAUAUUACCCAGAACAUAAAACCUGUUUGUGCAUUAUAAUGGAGCAAUAAUGUAUCCCUUCCUAAUCACUGGCAUACCUAUCUUUUCUUUUCUACCUUGCCUAUAGCAAGCACAAUAAAAAGUUUGCAAAAUGUGAAGAAAUUCUGAUUUUUGUAUGCCUGCGUUAUGAAUCCCUGCAGCUAUUAUGAAAAGCACUAAAAUGCUUGAACUAUGAGAAUAAAACACAAUUUACAGAGUACAGUUUCUUAUUAUUGCCUUUGAAGAUAGCAUCAGUUGUCUACACAGACCCGUAAAAUGUUUUAAAAGUUGAAAGAUACACCUUAAUGCAUUUAUCUUUCCUUUCUUAAUAAAAGAUAAAAAAACCAACAACAGUCUGAAUGAUAAACAAACAAAAGCAAACAAUAACUUACUGCUU